UCAGUGGCGGACGGGUGAGUAACGCGUGGGAACGUGCCCUUUGGUUCGGAAUAGCCCUGGGAAACUGGGAGUAAUACCGAAUGUGCCCUUCGGGGGAAAGAUUUAUCGCCAAAGGAUCGGCCCGCGUUGGAUUAGGUAGUUGGUGGGGUAAUGGCCUACCAAGCCGACGAUCCAUAGCUGGUUUGAGAGGAUGAUCAGCCACACUGGGACUGAGACACGGCCCAGACUCCUACGGGAGGCAGCAGUGGGGAAUCUUAGACAAUGGGGGCAACCCUGAUCUAGCCAUGCCGCGUGAUCGAUGAAGGCCUUAGGGUUGUAAAGAUCUUUCAGAUGGGAAGAUAAUGACGGUACCAUCAGAAGAAGCCCCGGCUAACUCCGUGCCAGCAGCCGCGGUAAUACGGAGGGGGCUAGCGUUAUUCGGAAUUACUGGGCGUAAAGCGCACGUAGGCGGACUGGAAAGUCAGAGGUGAAAUCCCAGGGCUCAACCUUGGA
RNAcentral lists this ribosomal RNA (492 nucleotides) under uncultured Rhodobacter sp. Its description in RNAcentral is "bacterial SSU rRNA". It matches the Rfam family "Bacterial small subunit ribosomal RNA", at positions 92 to 619 of the family's 1533-position model. Lineage: Bacteria; Pseudomonadati; Pseudomonadota; Alphaproteobacteria; Rhodobacterales. The record is from RNAcentral.